Molecule: long non-coding RNA, 90 nt
Organism: Apis dorsata (giant honeybee)
Lineage: Eukaryota; Metazoa; Arthropoda; Insecta; Hymenoptera; Apidae
Exons: 2
Source: RefSeq, a predicted model, not a curated record
UUAAUUUUUACACGAGGGUGCUUCCAUCGUGAUAAUAAAUAUUUAUUUACACGUGAUUAGUUUUACGAUACGAAUGGGAUAGUGCCAUUU